AUGGCGACGAACGAGAGAACCGUCGCGUCCGUCGACCCCGACGUCGCGCUCGCCUACAGGUUCCCCGAGGUCUCCUUCGCCUACGACGAGAGGGACGUGGCGCUCUACGCGCUCGGCGUGGGGGCCUGCGGCGCGGACGCCGUCGACGACAAGGAGCUCCACCUCGUGCACCACAGGGACAGCCAGCGCCACAUCAAGGUGCUUCCUACCUUUGUUUCUUUAUUUCCUAACAAGAACAGCAAUGGGCGUGGAAUUGUUAAUGUGCCUGGCAUUCACUUCGAUGAAAGCCUUCUAUUGCACGGUCAACAAUACAUAGAGAUCUACAAGCCAAUUCCUUCAUGUGCCAGUGUUGUAAACAAGGUUAAGGUAGCUGGUUUGCACGACAAAGGGAAAGCAACAAUUCUUGAGAUUGAAACUACGACCAGUCUCAAGGAUUCUGGCGAAGUGUUAUGUAUGAACAGGAGCACUAUUUUCUUGCGUGGUGCGGGAGGUUUUUCGGACUCUUCCAGGCCAUACUCGUAUACAACUUAUCCUGCCAACCAGAUUUCUCGCAUUUCCAUUCCAAAUUCCACACCUUCCGCAGUGCAUGAAGACCAGACACAACAAUCCCAGGCACUCUUAUACAGGUUAUCUGGGGAUUAUAAUCCUUUGCAUUCAGACCCUAUGGUUGCACAGAUUGCAGGAUUCACUCGUCCAAUACUGCACGGCCUCUGCACUCUGGGGUUCGCGGCCAGGGCAGUCAUCAAGUCUUUCUGCAACGGGGACCCAGCAGCGGUGCGGAACAUCUUCGGCCGGUUCCUGCUGCACGUCUACCCCGGCGAAACGCUGGUCACCGAGAUGUGGGUCGACGGCCAGAGGGUGCAGUACCAGACCAAGGCGAAAGAGCGUGACCGCGCCGUGCUUUCCGGAUACGUGCUGCUCAAACACAUCCCCUCAUCAUUGUCUUCACAUGCAGAUAAUGGAGGAGGCCGGCUGUAG
This 978-nucleotide ribosomal RNA is filed under the name Triticum aestivum (bread wheat). RNAcentral describes it as "partial small subunit ribosomal RNA". Lineage: Eukaryota; Viridiplantae; Streptophyta; Magnoliopsida; Poales; Poaceae. The record is from RNAcentral.